This 926-nucleotide ribosomal RNA is filed under the name Themisto sp. LJC-2013. Its description in RNAcentral is "bacterial SSU rRNA". It matches the Rfam family "Eukaryotic small subunit ribosomal RNA", at positions 1004 to 1666 of the family's 1831-position model. Lineage: Eukaryota; Metazoa; Arthropoda; Malacostraca; Amphipoda; Hyperiidae. The record is from RNAcentral.
UCGAUAAGAUUACCGCCCUAGUUGCAACCGUAAACGAUAUCAACCAUCAAUCCGUCAAAGCGUUCCCUUGAGUCUUCGGAGGCGGGCUUCGCGGCCCUCUUCGGGGACAAAGUGUAAGCGCUUGAUGGGCAGCUCUUCUAUCACGGGAAACCAGAGUGUUUCGGUUCCGGGGGGAGUCUGGUUGCAAAGCUGAAACUUAAAGGAAUUGACGGAAAGGCACCACCAGGCGUGGAGCUUGCGGCUCAAUUUGACUCAACACGGGAAAUCUCACCAGACCCGAACAUCUCUAACGAUUGACAGAUUGAAAGCUCUUUCUUAAUGAAGUGGAUGGUGGUGCAUGGCCGUUCUUAGUUGGUGGAGUGAUCUGUCUGGUUAAUUCCGAUAACGAACGAGACAUAAUUCCGAAUAACGAACGAGACUCUCCCCUGCUAACGGACCUUAGUGUUUUUCUAGACGGUGUGAUUCGGAGCAAGAGUCCAUGGGCGUAAGCCCCGGUCUCGGACGAUGUCCACUGAUCCUUGGUGCGUUGGUGUUCCGCGUGCCAUCGGAGAGUUGAGUGUUCGCAUUCUUCGCCUCUGUGGAUUUCUCGGUUCAUUGACAAAGCGCCUCGGAGUACGUUUCUUCUUAGAGGGAUUGACGACUUAUAAGUCGUAAGAAACAGGGAGCAAUAACAGGUCUGUGAUGCCCUUAGAUGUUCUGGGCUGCACGCGUGUUACAAUGCCGGUAUCAACGGGUUAUUACACUUUUAGUGGCCUACUCCGAAAGGAGUGGGUAAACCUUUGAAAACCAACUGCGUCUGUCUUCAUUGACAGUGCAAUUACGGCAUGCUUGGGACUGGGGAUUGCAAUUAUUCCCCACAAACUAGGAAUGCCUUGUAGUGGCGGGUCACAGAGCCCGCUGCGAAUCUGUCCCUGCCUUUUGUAUCA